RNAcentral lists this ribosomal RNA (252 nucleotides) under uncultured bacterium. RNAcentral describes it as "partial 16S ribosomal RNA". It matches the Rfam family "Bacterial small subunit ribosomal RNA", at positions 524 to 776 of the family's 1533-position model. The record is from RNAcentral.
UACGGAGGAUGCGAGCGUUAUCCGGAUUUAUUGGGUUUAAAGGGUGCGUAGGCGGACGCUUAAGUCAGCGGUAAAAUUGCGGGGCUCAACCUCGUCGAGCCGUUGAAACUGGGUGCCUUGAGUGGGCGAGGAGUACGCGGAAUGCGUGGUGUAGCGGUGAAAUGCAUAGAUAUCACGCAGAACUCCGAUUGCGAAGGCAGCGUACCGGCGCCCUACUGACGCUGAAGCACGAAGGCGUGGGUAUCGAACAGG